AUUGAACGCUGGCGGCAGGCCUAACACCUGCAAGUCGAACGCGUGGCACGCGUGUGAGUAGUGUCGGAGAAACUCCCUGAUGGAGGGGGAUAACUACUGGAAACGGUAUCUAAUACCACAUACUAUCAGAUGUCCCACUAUGGGAUUCUCUGGUAGGUGGGGUAACGGCUCACCUAGGCGACGAUCCCUAGCUGGUCUGAGAGGAUGACCAGCCACACUGGAACUGAGACACGGUCCAGACUCCUACGGGAGGCAGCAGUGGGGAAUAUUGCACAAUGGGCGCAAGCCUGAUGCAGCCAUGCCGCGUGUGUGAAGAAGGCCUUCGGGUUGUAAAGCACUUUCAGCGGGGAGGCGUUACCCGCAGAAGAAGCACCGGCUAACUCCGUGCCAGCAGCCGCGGUAAUUC
Molecule: ribosomal RNA, 406 nt
Filed under: uncultured bacterium
Lineage: Bacteria
Description: partial 16S ribosomal RNA
Rfam family: Bacterial small subunit ribosomal RNA
Source: RNAcentral